UAAUACGAACUGUGCGAACGUUAUUCGGAAUCACUGGGCUUACAGGGUGCGUAGGCGGCCGAACAAGUCAGGUGUGAAAGCCCUCGGCUCAACCGAGGAACUGCGCUUGAAACUGUUUGGCUCGAGUCAACUAGAGGUGCACGGAACUUCCAGUGGAGCGGUGAAAUGUGUUGAUAUUGGAAGGAACACCGGAGGCGAAAGCGGUGCACUGGGGUUGGUCUGACGCUGAGGCACGAAAGCCAGGGGAGCGAACGGGAUUAGAUACCCCGGUAGUCCUGGCCGUAAACGAUGAGUGCUGGACGGGAGGGGGUUCGCCCUUUCCGGUCGGAGCGAAAGCGGGAAGCACUCCGCCUGGGGAGUAUGGUCGCAAGGCUG
This 375-nucleotide ribosomal RNA is filed under the name uncultured bacterium. RNAcentral describes it as "bacterial SSU rRNA". It matches the Rfam family "Bacterial small subunit ribosomal RNA", at positions 521 to 896 of the family's 1533-position model. The record is from RNAcentral.